UACGUAGGGGGCAAGCGUUGUCCGGAAUCAUUGGGCGUAAAGAGCGUGUAGGCGGCCAGCUAAGUCCGCUGUGAAAUCUCGAGGCUCAACUUCGAGCUGUCGGUGGAAACUGUCUGGCUAGAGUCCGGAAGAGGAGAAUGGAAUUCCUGGUGUAGCGGUGAAAUGCGCAGAUAUCAGGAAGAACACCCGUGGCGAAGGCGGUUCUCUGGGACGGUACUAACGCUGAGACGCGAAAGCGUGGGGAGCGAACAGG
RNAcentral lists this ribosomal RNA (253 nucleotides) under uncultured bacterium. RNAcentral's name for it is "partial 16S ribosomal RNA". It matches the Rfam family "Bacterial small subunit ribosomal RNA", at positions 524 to 776 of the family's 1533-position model. The record is from RNAcentral.